Molecule: ribosomal RNA, 253 nt
Filed under: uncultured bacterium
Lineage: Bacteria
Description: partial 16S ribosomal RNA
Rfam family: Bacterial small subunit ribosomal RNA
Source: RNAcentral
UACGUAGGGUGCAAGCGUUGUCCGGAAUUAUUGGGCGUAAAGAGCUCGUAGGCGGUUUGUUGCGUCGGCUGUGAAAACUCGGGGCUUAACCCCGGGCCUGCAGUGGGUACGGGCAGACUAGAGUGCGGUAGGGGAGACUGGAAUUCCUGGUGUAGCGGUGAAAUGCGCAGAUAUCAAGAGGAACACCUGCGGCGAAGGCGGGUUGCUGGGCCAACACUGACGCUGAAGCGCGAAAGCCAGGGGAGCGAGCGGG